RNAcentral lists this ribosomal RNA (711 nucleotides) under uncultured Serratia sp. RNAcentral's name for it is "bacterial SSU rRNA". It matches the Rfam family "Bacterial small subunit ribosomal RNA", at positions 768 to 1479 of the family's 1533-position model. Lineage: Bacteria; Pseudomonadati; Pseudomonadota; Gammaproteobacteria; Enterobacterales; Yersiniaceae. The record is from RNAcentral.
GCGAACGGGAUUAGAUACCCUGGUAGUCCACGCUGUAAACGAUGUCGAUUUGGAGGUUGUGCCCUUGAGGCGUGGCUUCCGGAGCUAACGCGUUAAAUCGACCGCCUGGGGAGUACGGCCGCAAGGUUAAAACUCAAAUGAAUUGACGGGGGCCCGCACAAGCGGUGGAGCAUGUGGUUUAAUUCGAUGCAACGCGAAGAACCUUACCUACUCUUGACAUCCAGAGAACUUAGCAGAGAUGCUUUGGUGCCUUCGGGAACUCUGAGACAGGUGCUGCAUGGCUGUCGUCAGCUCGUGUUGUGAAAUGUUGGGUUAAGUCCCGCAACGAGCGCAACCCUUAUCCUUUGUUGCCAGCGGUUCGGCCGGGAACUCAAAGGAGACUGCCAGUGAUAAACUGGAGGAAGGUGGGGAUGACGUCAAGUCAUCAUGGCCCUUACGAGUAGGGCUACACACGUGCUACAAUGGCAUAUACAAAGAGAAGCGACCUCGCGAGAGCAAGCGGACCUCAUAAAGUAUGUCGUAGUCCGGAUUGGAGUCUGCAACUCGACUCCAUGAAGUCGGAAUCGCUAGUAAUCGUAGAUCAGAAUGCUACGGUGAAUACGUUCCCGGGCCUUGUACACACCGCCCGUCACACCAUGGGAGUGGGUUGCAAAAGAAGUAGGUAGCUUAACCUUCGGGAGGGCGCUUACCACUUUGUGAUUCAUGACUGGG